GCGCGUUUAUGAAAGGGAAAUAUUGUGCAUUCCUGGGCAGCUGGAUAAGCCUGGAAUGGUGGGUUUUGCUAGGAAUUUGGUGCCCUGCUAACGAGCUGGUUUGCUUCUCUGGGUAUCUAGGAAGUUCCCGGGUAACUCGGCAUGUACUGCAGGCCCGGGCGUGGACGGAAUGCGCAUGCCUACAUCACAGAUCUAUGUGAUAAUAUUCUAUGCGUUAUCCCCAGGUCGGAACUCUUCUGGUGGAAGACAGUCACGACAAGGAAUGGCAACCCAGCUCAAAAUGACUUUGGUCUCCUCAGAUCGCUCUGGUGCAGAACCAUUCUGUUCUACCCAGGAGAAGGGCCCUGAGAGCCUUCCUGCCUGCCCUGGGCCUGCAGCCCAGACCCAAGACAAACCUUGAGGAGCUUGAAGGCUGGAGAAGAGUGGGAUUCUCAGGAGCGAACUGCUGGGUGCGCGGCGUCAUAGGGCGUAUCUUUGGGCAGGAGUAGAAGUACGCACGUGUAAGACGAUCCCCGCUGUGGUGCCCAUGUCACUGUCUCUGCCCGCUUCCCUAUCUUCAUUUUUCUACCAACAUUUUAAUGCUACAGGAAAAUUCCAUCACGGGUGCAUUUAACUUGAGUGGAUUUUACUGUAUCUGCUCAGAAGAGGAAGGAAAUCUCUGGGUGCGUAUUUGGC
This 675-nucleotide long non-coding RNA is filed under the name Mustela putorius furo (domestic ferret). RNAcentral describes it as "lncRNA (ENSMPUG00000023939.1)". Lineage: Eukaryota; Metazoa; Chordata; Mammalia; Carnivora; Mustelidae. The record is from RNAcentral.